Callithrix jacchus (white-tufted-ear marmoset) is the source of this 4144-nucleotide non-coding RNA. The record is from RefSeq and is a predicted model, not a curated record. Lineage: Eukaryota; Metazoa; Chordata; Mammalia; Primates; Cebidae.
GCACUCUGUUGGUUAAAGCAAUUCACAGUGUCAGCCUGGAAUCAGUGUGGGAGGGGAAAACACAAGGUCAUGAAUACUAGGAAGUAGACUUUGGAGGCGAGCAAGUGCUAUGGGAACACCCAGGGGAGGCCCAUAACCUAGGCAUGGAAGUCAGGAAGACUUCCUGGAAGCAGCAAUGCUAAACUAACCUUAAUGAUGAGGCCUGGGAACUAACCAGGUGAAGGAGAGGAAAAGAAAGCCCAGUUCAGGCAGGGGACACAGCUGAUACAAAGAUCCAGGGAGGAAAAGAAAGCACAAUUUAAGAUCAGUGUAGCUGGAGCUGAGGGUGAGGCAGGAAGUGAUGGUGAUGGGGUAGUGAUAGGCCUUAGUAUGGAGAGGUAAAUGGAGCAAGAUCAUAACACCUUGCAAGCCCCCAAGAUAUUUGGACUCUGUCCUGAAGGUGUGGGUUUUGGUAGGGGAGUGACCAGGCCACAGGGAUCUAAGAAAGGCUGUUGACUGCUGUGUAGGAAUGGAUUAGAGGGGGUCAAUCUCUCAUUUUCACCCUGUCCCCUCUAGGCCAGUGACCUCACCUUCAGCACUGAGAAACCUGAGUCAUCACCUCAUCUCCUCAGCACUGAUACUAGCUCUUUUUGCUUUUGCUUUCUAUUAGUGGAUAUAUAUAUAUAUAUAUAUUUUUUUUUUUUUUUUUUUUUGAGAUGGAGUCUUGCUCUGUCACCCAGGCUGGAGUGUGGUGGUGCAAUCUUGGCUCAUGGUAACCUCCGCCUCCUGGGUUCAAGCAGUUCUUCUGCCUCGGCCUCCUGAGUAGUUGGGAUCACAGGCCUGUGCCACUAUGCCUGGCUAAUUUUUGUAUUUUUAGUAGAGAUGGAGUUUUUCCAUGUUGGCCAGGCUGGUCUCAAACUCCUGACCUCAGGAGCGGAGGUCUGAUCAAAGUGUUGAGAUUACAGACGUGAGCCACCCAGCUGGGGUUUUUAAUAUAAAAGAGUGCAAAUGGCUGGGUGUGGUGGUUCAUGCCUGUAAUCCCAGCACUUUGGGAGGCUGAGGCAGGCAGAUCACUUGAGGUCAGUAGUUUGAGACCAGCCUGGCCAACAUAGUGAAACCCUGUCUCUACUAAAAAUACAAAAAUUAGCCAGGUGUGGUGAUAGAUGCCUGUAAUCCCAGCUACUUGGGAAGCUGAGGCAGGAGAAUAGCUUGAAUCCAGGAGGUGAAGGCAGUGAGCCAAGAUCGUACCACGCACUCCAGCCUAAGUGACAGAGCAAGACUCUGUCUCAAAAAAAAAAAAAAAAAAAAAAAAGACAAAUUCGUUUAUACAAAUAUUUUUGUUUUGUUUAAUUUCUUUUUAAAGAACAUAGCAGAAAACCUACCUGGUAGGAAUCUGGAUGUGGGGUUCGUCAGAGGUCAAUUUAUACUUGAGAGCGUUGUAUAUUAAGGAACAGCCCACUGGCAGGGAGUAUAGAGCAAGCCAAGCUCAGUGAAUUUGACCCCCCAGAUAAAUAAUGGUUGUUGAAAAGCUCUUACUCUAGUAAAAAGUCAUAUAAUACUAAAGGCUUAUAUCAAAAGACAGCAGACUUCUGCACACGCUCUCUACCCUCUAAUCCUACUCUCUAGAGGCAAUUAUUCUGUACUCCGUGAAGUGUCAGGAAGCAGCGCAUGAGAGCGGGGAUUCUAGAAUUGAAUUGUCUAACAUCCAACACAGCUGUCUCCCUUACCAGCUGGGUUACCUUGGUCAAGUUCAUUAUAAUAUCUUUUCCCUCAGUUUCUUCGUCUGUAUGAUGGGAAUGAUAAUUGUACUCUUCUUAUGAGAUGACACAGUUAAACUGCUGGGCACAUGGUCUGUAAAUGGUAACUAUAUAUGAUGAUGACGAAGAAAAAUCUAACUUGAGAGCAACUGUGAGUACACUUGGACGUUAGCUGCACACUGAACAAAUAAAUAUAAGGCGUGUUUAUCAUUUGGCGGAAAUGACAAGAAUACAGACUCAGUUGGAGAGGUCUGUCUCUUCCCUUUGUUCUAAGGCUAAACUCUGUGUUUGUUCUCAGUCCCAUUCCCUUCCUGUCCCUUUUAGAACCUUGUCUCUAUAAUUAUCCUGACCCUUAUGCCAAAACAUACAUCUUCCUCCUACCUUUUUUCUUUCUGCCUGUGAAAUAUGUACAGGCCUUUCCAGUCUUGGGGGAAAAAUCCUUUACUUGAUCCUCCUGCCCUUUUCAGCUACCAUUCUGUUUCUUUUUCCCUACUGCCAGAUUUCUUAAUUAAGUAAAACACAUGCUGCCUCCCAUUUCUGCAUGACUCCUUCACUUUUCAGCCUUGUCUCCCAGCUUCUAUCCCUGUUCUUCUGAAAUAGGGGUCACUAGGGUCAUCAAAGACCACCUCAUUAACUACCAGUGGACCUUUGCUCAGUCGGACUCUUGACCCAGAGCACUUGACUCAGUUGGCCAUCCGUGCCUUAAAUCUUACACACAACCUCAUUGUCCACUUCCAUUUUUCUGGCUAUUGUGUACUUUCCCCAAGCCACCCAGGAAAGGAAUCUUGAACUCAUUGUAGGCUCAACUCUUCCUUCUCUGCCCUCCCCAAUACUAGUUUUAUUUUUGCUUUCUUUCCUCUGGUUCAGGUUUUCUCAUGACCCCACACUAGUUUUGACUCUUUCUGCAAGUAUUAGAAACUCACUGAAGCUAGCUUUUGAAAAAGUUUUAUCAGGGUAUGGAAGAGUAGCCAGGACAUCUAAUGGAUCCCAAGGGCAGGAGACAGCUGGGACCCAGAAAAGACCAGAAUUAUAGACUCAGGAGGCAACAAAGUGAGCCCUUUCUCUCUGACUUUCUUUCUGGGUUUCUCAUGAUCUGUCCAGUUACCCCAAAGGGGUCAGACACUUCCAUACCCAGCUAGUCACUGGGUCCUGUGAAAAUUGCCUUCUUUUGCAUCAGGCCCUUUCAACUGUCUCCUCUCCAGCUUCCCUGGUCCUACGUCUCUCUUGUUCGUUUAUCUCCUAACCAUUCUCCUGUAUCUGGCAGUGCUGCUUCUUCCUUCUGACCCCUAGUACCAGCAUCAUCCACGUGUCCAUUCUUUCCCUGUUGCUCUUAAACUCCCUCUGUGCUGUUGACUUUUAAAUGAGAAUACAGUGGUUAAGAGCUUGGGUUCUGGAAUCCUAAUAAUCCUGGUUUGAAUCCUCCACCACUUUGUCGGUUGUGUGAACUUUGGAAAGUUACUUGAAUUUUUUUGAGCCUCACUUCCUUAUCUGUGAAAUGGAGCACAUGUAAAGCUUAGUUAGCACAGUGCCUGGCACACAGAGCCCAAAACGGUAACAAUCAUUAGCCUUACCUUUGCCCUCUUUCCUGAGUUCCAGUCCAGACCUCCACAACCUGCUAGGUUUAUCCAUUGCCUGUCCUGCUGUGACCUCAGAUCCACCUGUCGGAAUUCCCCAGAUGCUGGUGGAUGAUGCAGCUUUCUGACAGCUAGAGGGCAGGGAGAUUUGAAAAAGGCAGGUGGUCUCACCACAUUCUCAAAGGAACCCCACACCUGACCUUGCCAAGCCUCAGCAGAGAAGGCUCUGAAGAACAGCUCUCCCAGAAGCCUCCAAGCCCUGUGCUGGCUGACUUUUAAGUUCUAGGAGGGCAAGCAGAGCUGCCAUUAUGAGGGCAAACGGAGGAUGUGAACUUAACCUUUAAAAAAAAGCCCCAGGUGGUGAGAGGAGGUGUAGCAGAUCAGUGGAGCUUGGAAGUGGGUGAGAGCAACACCCUCAGGGCGUUGAGCUGGGUUUAGGCUGGGGCCUCCCUCAAGCACUGGGGAUUUGGCAGCAGGGAAGCCAGAGAUGCUCCUGUUUUUAGCUGAGCAAUUGUAGGUCCCCUUUGCCGCCCUUGUGAACAUUCCUCAUUAAGCGCCACGUGUGAAACAGGGUGGUUGCUUUCCCCGCCCCUCCUCCCGGCUCUCUCUACCUCCUCUCUGCUCCUGGAUGGUGGCAGGUGGCAGUCCUACUGGCAGGAACCCAGGAGGGGCAGGGCUGCACUCUACCCAGCACAGAACUGGAAUCAUGAGGAUGGGAGGGCCAGAAAGAGGCGGAAAGCGACACUGAGAAUCCAUUCCAAACGAGCAGCCAAGAGGAGACGCGGCAGCUCCCAGAUGUUGAUGUUUUGUUUUUUGACAUAAAUCUUUGCACUC